GUUUAAUUCAAUAUACAUUUUUGUCAGCCAAACUGUUUCUAUCUUUUAAAUAUAAUUAUUACUUUAACAGUUCAAUUAUACAUUUUUUUUGUUGUUUAAUUUCAUAAACAACAUAUUUAGUUUUUCGUUCCACUAUGCAAAAUAGAAUCAAUAUGAUGAUGGUAAGAGGUUAACUUUGGAUAUUAUAGUUUACGUGAAUCUUGUAUAACUAAGAUAUACUAAUAUAGAGCUGAGCAUAUUGGUUCAUGUGGGUCAGUCAUCAAUGCAGAAUCAUUGCAUAAUUUUAGUGUCACGCAUCAAGUCGUAACAAAUGGUGGAAGACAAUAUGUAAUUAAGAACUGGUUUUAAUAAAUAAAAUAUUUGAAAAUGA
This is a long non-coding RNA of Chelonus insularis, 370 nucleotides long. RefSeq lists it as uncharacterized. The record is from RefSeq and is a predicted model, not a curated record. NCBI's taxonomy places the organism in Eukaryota, Metazoa, Arthropoda, Insecta, Hymenoptera, Braconidae. The transcript has 2 exons.